Molecule: long non-coding RNA, 4314 nt
Filed under: Homo sapiens (human)
Lineage: Eukaryota; Metazoa; Chordata; Mammalia; Primates; Hominidae
Description: HSALNT0406414
Source: RNAcentral
AACCUGGAGGCAGAGGUUGCAGUGAGCUGAGAUCGCGCCAAAGGAAAGGGUCAAGGCAGAUCCAUUUCCCUCAACAUUUGGGCACAGACAGGCCUUUCUGGUAUAGGGGGAAGAGGCGGAUUUUGAUUUCGAGCCCCGUAAUUUGUUGAUUCUGAGAGUGUGCCCAUAGACAGGUUCACUGAAGGCUGCGUGGACAGCAAAUGCAACGGGCUUUAUGUUGAAUGGUGGCACACUUUGGGGAGCAGAGGAUGCACUGUAGGCUCACACCCUACAUCCGUGUGUUCCCUCUGUGUCCCAAGCCCAGGGGGAUGCCCAGCCUCAUCCUGCCCUGUCUUCCCAGGGCCAGCGGCAGUCAGCCCAUGUGGCUGCUGCACGAACCCCGCACUGACGCUGGACCAAGGCCUUGAGUGCCGUGCACGGACCACCUGCUUCGGACCCCACACCUGCAGUGCUGGGGAAAAUUACACCUUUUGGGGCCCCACGCCAGACCUCCCAGUCAGGAUCUCUGGGGUCUGUGCCUGGGGACUGCACUGAACCUUCAUCUCGGGUGAUUUGAGAGCCCCAUGAGAGUCCACCUGUGCCUUCCACACCUUUCCUCUGGGGGUGACCGUCCCACAGGGACCAGCCCCAGCCCUGCUCUCCGGGCCCCUACCACCACUGCCUCUUCAAACGCCGGCCCAUGAACCCCACAGGCACCCCGUAAGGCCGGCAGCAUCGUUUCCAGAUGGGCCCAGAAGCUUGAGCCGUGGCAAAGCUCAUGGGAUUUGGGAGCUGGGAUUCUGGGCUACUGUGCCUUGCACUCGCCCAAACCCAGCAGAGACUGUGGACUGGAGCAAGAGCGCUGUGAACCCAGCCUGGCUGCUCCCUGGAGAGGAGGGCGCGGGACUGGACUGAGCCCCACAAGCCUGAGGGAGGAGCACGGGCCUCAGGGGCUCCUGCUCUGGGCUACCACGGCUUCUUCCUGGCUGUGUUUCUUCUGGUCCAUCGGGCAACCUCUCUGAAUUCAACUGUCCAAUCAACAAAACGUGGGUAAGGGAGCACCCCUUUGCCUCUUCCAGGGUGGAAGGGGAGGGCGGGGGUGACCCUCUCUCGGCUUCCUCCCCUGUCCACCUUCCCAUUUUAGACCUGGGAUGGGAGACGUGUAGACUGUGUUCCAGGAUUCAGUCCCAGGUUCUUGGCAGAUGUGAAUGCUUGGCUGCCCUUCAGGCUGAGUGUAGCUGCCACAAAGACAAAGGGCCCAGCUGACCCUAGGGCUACUGUGUGCCCUCAUUCUGAGGCCUGCGAGUUGCCAGCCCUAUCCCUUCAAAGGGGUAGUUAGGUGCGUGUAUCUCACACCUGGACGCAUCACAAUGAGGUGGGAAAGUCAAGCACCUCCACAGCCCUUCCCUCUGGGACCCAGGGGAGUCUUCCCAGCCCCUAGCACUCCCCACUCUCCACCAAGGCCAACCAGCACCUGAGGGCAGGCCCCUCCCUGCCCCCAGCACAACUUCCUGACCAGGGACCACAGGCCUAGGGUCUGUGUCACUGAUCAACUGUGAAGGCUGAGACAUAGCCACCCCCACCCAUUCUGAAAAGGAAAAGCCCUCAGAGCUUCCCAGACUGGCACCUGCUCCUAGGGUGUGAGGAGGGUAGCACAGGGUCUGCCCUCAGAGACCUCAGGCUCAGAGAAUCAAGCUUCUCCCUCCCCUCCUGGGACCUACAGGGUCUGAGAUCGUCCACCAGGAGGAGGAGAAAGGAGUAGAGACCCCCUUCCUCGCUGCUGUCCUGGGACAGCCGGCACCCCUGGCACCCUCUGCCUCCCCACACUUCCAUGGCUUUGCCCUCUUGGCUUUCUGAGCCUCUGCCAAGCUUCUGUGCAUUCUUCAAGACCCACCUCAAAAGCCACCUCCAGGAAGCUGUCCUGGGUUCCUGUCCCUCGACCCCCAACAGAAUUAACUGCCCUCUCCUCUGCUCCCGCCUCCUGCUCCAGGCCCCUGGGGCUCACAGCUCUCAGGCUGUGGUUUUUCUCACCUUCCUGCAGCACAGCACCUCCCUGCGCAGACCAACCUUAUCCAAUCAACAAACGGGCACUGAGUCCCUCCCUGAGCAAGCUCCGUGGAGGAAAGGGGCCGCCACGUGGGGGAUGUGAGAUAGUUUAUCCCCUUGGCCUACAUGUAGGGGUGGGCUGGAUGAGGCACCCCUCUCAUUGAAAGUCCUGUGGAGGCUCUGAGGGCACCCACAGUAUCUAGAGCUGGGGCCAGAAGCUGGACCUGUUGCCAACCAAGACGCUGUCUCCCUGGCCCUUGCUUCCCUCACUGUGAGAAUAGGAGCGGUGCACGCAAAGGCAUGCCCUCAGCAGCCCUUUGAGGGGGGUGCUGUGAGGGGAUUGGUGGCCAGGGCACAGAAAGGUUAAGUGGCUGGCUGAGGUCACACAGCAAGGCAGGUGCAACUCCAAGAGGUCUCUGCACAGGGCAUGUUCUCUGUCUGCCCUCUCUGCUACUCCAGGUGUGGCCUCGGGAGAGGGCUGGUCUCCAACUGCACACUUCCUGGAUAGCAGUGAUCAUGGACACAUUUCAGGUUGGGCACUUGCAGUGCCAAGGGGAGGAGGACGCAAUGUGAAGGGAAGGUUUCUUGGUCGUGGUCUGGAUUGACAAGGAGGGCCAGAGGCAAACAAGGAUCAUCCAGACGGGACGGUUCACCUCUCCCUAACCUCCACAGCGACCCCAGGGCUGUUGGGCACCAGAGGAGGAAAUGCUGACUCACUAAUAGGAAGCUGGGACACACCCUCGUGUUGCAACCGUGGCCUCCCGGGGGUGCGUCGGCCUCAUCUGGCCACUGGGCUGGCGUCCCCCUCUGCUUUCCAUCAGCGCAUACUGGAUUCCCUCACCUUUUGCCGUCCCCACACUGCGCCACCCUGCACCUGGCACCACUCAGCACCUCCUCCUGGCCCUACCCGUCCGCCAUGGAAUCCAGCCACUGAGAAAGGCACCAUUGAAACAGACAUAAUCAUGGGUCAGAAGAUGUGACUCAGCCUCUACUCAAAUCUGUUUGUCAAACCAAAAGGUGCUUCGUGUUUAAGUCAAACUAUCCCUAAUGCAUUUUCCAUUCUCUUCAAAAACCACAGCCAUCAGUUUUAAAAAAAGACAGAAAACAUGAAGCACACUUCUCUUGCCUGGCUUACCAUUUUCUUUGAUCCAUUAAAAUCCAAGAGUGAGCCCUUCCUCGUCUCUAGAGUGUGGAGCAAAGAGGGAAUAAUUAUCCAUAAAGUGGCCUUCUGAGUGUUUGCUUUGCGAUGAAAGAAAACUUUUGAGAGCUUGGAAUAAAGAAGGAAUAUGGGCUCCCUUUCCUGCAGUAGCUACUUUGUUUGGGUCUGAGAAGCACCAGUCAUGGUCAAGCAAAAUUCACCAGACUCAGAAAACUGCCCUGCCCCGUGACUUCCAUCUGCUCCUCUCCUGAUAAUUGUAAAAGCCAAUGAAGAUUGUGCUUCUUAACUACACAUCAGCCGGCUGAUUGUAAGUGUUGGGAAUAUAAUUAGGGGUACACGGCUCUGACCCUCACUCUUCGUAGGUUUAACAAGAUUGGACUUACGCAAUGGCAAGAAGGAAACCGAGAUUGAAAAUGACCAAUUUUGCUGGUUGAGAGGCGUCUUGUUUUCUGGAAGAAACUGAGAAUCUGCAGUUGUAGACUGGGAAUGCUAGAACCUCUGGAGUGGCAUCAACUCGAUCGGGGGCCAAAACCAUGAGAAAGCACCAAUAUUUUCCACCGUUUUUAACCAAACUCGGCUGUUGUUGGUCUAAAACCUGCCCUGGGUUUUGAGGGAGCGGUGCUUUUGUGAGCCCAGCUUGCCUUGAGUGCAUGGAUGGGAACCUGAAACCAGCCAGUCUUGCCUCCCACCCUCUCAACUUUUCCAGUAAAAAAUGUGACGGGCACUUUUUUUCCAGUAAAACUGUUCCCCCAGCAGGACAGCCUAUAUGCAGCUAGGUUCCUGGCAAAUGAGCAGGGAAUAAUAGCUGGCUAGAGGUGGGCGGGACUGAAAUACAGCUGUCCACCUCUCCGGAAAACAUCACCCAGGGUUCUCCCCAUCCCCAUCUGACCUUCCAGCCACUAAACAAAUAAAUAAGGCCUUAGAAGCUCCUAGAGUCAACCACAGCCUCAGCUUCUAAACCGAGGCUGUGAUUCUACGAAACUCACCUCACAUCUGUGUCAUCUUUGAAAGACUCCAAUGGCUGGAUUGGUUUGAUCCUAUUCCGAAGGGCUUAUAAAGAAGAAUCCAGCCGGGUGUGGUGGCUCACACCUGUAAUCCCAGCACUUUGGGAGGCCAAGGCGGGUGGAUCA